UACGUAGGUGGCAAGCGUUGUCCGGAAUUAUUGGGCGUAAAGCGCGCGCAGGCGGUCUUUUAAGUCUGAUGUGAAAGCCCACGGCUCAACCGUGGAGGGUCAUUGGAAACUGGGGAACUUGAGUGCAGAAGAGGAAAGUGGAAUUCCAAGUGUAGCGGUGAAAUGCGCAGAUAUCGGGAAGAACACCCGUGGCGAAGGCGGCUCUCUGGGACGGUACUGACGCUGAGACGCGAAAGCGUGGGGAGCGAACAGG
Molecule: ribosomal RNA, 253 nt
Filed under: uncultured bacterium
Lineage: Bacteria
Description: partial 16S ribosomal RNA
Rfam family: Bacterial small subunit ribosomal RNA
Source: RNAcentral